GGCAGGAGAGGCUUGGGGGCCUCGUGGAUUGGGAAGAUGGCGGCCACCCGGGUUUCUUCGAUCGAUCUGCGAUCUGGACAGAGCCACGGCAACGCGGGCGUCGGGCGUAGGCGACCGACCCUCUGCAGCCACGCAUUGACAGGUAGAAGGCAUAACACUCCUCCCACCUUUGCUUCUCCCCUCCUCCCCUUCACUUCCCACUCCUUUCCAAUCUAGACUGCCCACCUACGUCCGCAUCUUUUUUCUCUCGAUUUGUACUACUUGAUUCUCUGGUUCUCUUAUAAUCGUAUUUUGAUUCCUCAACUUUUAGUUACCUGUCGAGACUAUAAGAAGAAUUUUGAGGAAGAAUUUGAUCAAGAAGACCAAGAGAGAUGGUUUGCUUUGGAGAGGAAUUAGAUAAGGCCCAUGAGUCCUAAAGAUAAUACAAUCAAUCCAACUGUUAA
Triticum dicoccoides is the source of this 443-nucleotide long non-coding RNA. RefSeq lists it as uncharacterized. Lineage: Eukaryota; Viridiplantae; Streptophyta; Magnoliopsida; Poales; Poaceae. The record is from RefSeq and is a predicted model, not a curated record. The transcript is spliced from 3 exons.